Molecule: long non-coding RNA, 410 nt
Organism: Tyto alba (common barn owl)
Lineage: Eukaryota; Metazoa; Chordata; Aves; Strigiformes; Tytonidae
Exons: 4
Source: RefSeq, a predicted model, not a curated record
UGUGAGAGCAAAAAGAAUGCAUUGCUUUUUGUUGUGCAGUUUGUACAUCAGAACUGAGGUAUGUUGCAUUCUACAGGCUAAACAAAUAAUAUCCAGAGGCAAGCUGAAGUACAAGUCAGAGUUGUGUGGAUAGCACCUGUCCUGUGCCAAAGUUAGUCUUAAGGUCAAUGAAAAGGUUUCAGGAGAUCAGAGGAGAAAGUUGUGUCCUGAUGUAAAGUCCAAUGGAUCCAACCACCUUCUCAAAACAAGGUGCUCCAGUGACACAACAAGAAGUCUGAGUUGGACCUGUGACUGCAUUUUAUGAACACUGAUCUUUUUUUGGCUGAAAAUCUGGAGGGAAAGUGCAAAUUUACUUGAACUGCCCUGACUUCAGGGCAUAUUUCUGUUGAUGAGGUGUUUUUAUGAGCAGC